AGUUCAAAACUAUGGAUGCUGGCCAUGAAAGCCUUCGACUGUACAACAGAGGAUUACUUGGGACUCUCCUUGCCAAAUCAGGAUAAUUGGAGGGUACAGAACCAUACUUACUUGCCCCUUGCUGCUGUUUUUGUUUUUGUCGUGUGCCUUCAAAUGGUUUCUGACUUGUGAAAACCUUAAGUUCCCAGAGUGCAUCAGACACUGUUCUGCAAGGUCCCUUGGUGCUUGGGACACAUAUUUCUGGGUACAUAGUAGGCUGCAGCAAGGGAGGAAUGGAAGAAAAACCCUAUUCUAAGAGUUCUCUGCUGUGUUUGUAACACCACCUUGGCACAUGAGAAACAGGAAUAUCAAAGAAAUAAACCAUUAUCUUUAUAAAAGCUGCAUGAGAUCCACUAUGGGAACAGCUGCUUCUGCACAAACCUUCCCCACAGCAACCUGUAAACAUGUAGGAGUGGAACCAGCAGUUUCUCCAAUAUUAAUGUUCUUUGUAGCCCUGCAAAGACAACAUAAUAAAAUUCAAGUAUGAAAAGACUAAUAUAAAUAGAUAUUAUGCAGGACAGUGCCUCACAUUUGUAAACAUAAACUUUCUGUUUGGAUAACUGUGUAUCAGUUAUACUUCUAGUAUCACAUGAACACAAAGGGAGCGAGGAGGCAGAACAGAAUGCUUUGACUCCAAAUGAGAUGCCUGCUGUGCAGAACUAUGUUUCACCACUAUGUUGCUGUCCACUGCACAGAGAGAUAGCACUACUAUCUGUUUCCUCCUGAAGUGCAGUAUCUGAAACUGAAUCCUGCUAGGAAACACUUGGAUGGAAACAUCAUUGGAGCUAUCUUGUCAGAUCUUAUUCUUAAGUUUAUGUUAACUCAUCAAGAGAUUAGGCACCAUAAUUUAAAGUCAACAUACUAUAGACCAACAAUAAUUAAUUUUGAAAAGUGUGGGAUUGUUCUUUUGGUCAAGCAUGUCCCUUGGUGCAGCAACUGUCCAAUAUGUGCAGUUCUAAAUGCAGCUGAUAAUGCCAGUCAGCCAUGACAGUGCCAUACCUAACUGGGAAAACAAUCUUAGCUUGUCUCUUUUAAUUCUAUUUUCUUUUCAUAUUUGCAUGGCUGUGGAUUUCAAGCAACUGUACAGGAACUUCACCUGCCCCCAGUGCAAUAAACAAGACCCACAAAAAUACAAAUGAGUUGGAUAGCCUAU
This is a long non-coding RNA of Sceloporus undulatus (fence lizard), 1192 nucleotides long. RefSeq lists it as uncharacterized. The record is from RefSeq and is a predicted model, not a curated record. Lineage: Eukaryota; Metazoa; Chordata; Lepidosauria; Squamata; Phrynosomatidae. The transcript is spliced from 3 exons.